AAGAAAUAUUCAUCAAUUCUGUGAGAAACACUAACUCCACUUAAAAUUGUUUUAAAUAAUGCUUUCUUAACUUUUUGUGCUUAACUGAGUUUAUAAACUAAGUUCAGUCAACAGACAUGACUGACUGAAUCCAACUGUUUUUUAAAACAAUUUAAACAAAUUUUGAUGAAAUGAGAACUGAUUACUAAUUAACGACAAAUGUUGGAAUUAAAAUUCAUUCUCUUGCACAGUACAGAUAAGGCCAAAUAAUUCAAUUGGUUUUGCUCAAGUUUAACAUGUUUUAGCUUGGUUUCAGAUAUGCUAACACACUGGAAAAGAAAAGUAACUUUUGUUCUUCUAAAUAGAGUACCCUAUGAAAAUAAACUUUCAAGCAAAAUCAAUGCUACUUAGAUGAAUACCUAUUCAAAAGGCAUUUACAAUUUCAGUAUGAAUGGUCCUCAAAGGUCGACCUUCAAAAUCCAAGCCCUGUAUCAGCCAACAAGCAAGGAAAGUAGUGGUAAAAAAUUAGUCAAGUAGAUUGUGUUUCUCCUUUCACACUCACAUCCUGAUAUUUAUUUACUACGAUUUUAUCUUACUCUAAUUUACAGAACAGAUAAAGACUCUUUACGUACCUUCCAAUUUUCCAAACUAGUAACACUUAAUACUUAAUGUUCAAAAUAAAAAUUUUAAGUAUCUUUUGUGGAGGGGAUCAUUUAAAAUCUGUUAAUCAAAUCAGUGAGUUCAAAUAAAUCAGAUUAGUAAAGGUGCUCCAAAGGUGGUAAUUCAGUGUUCACAACAGUUUUGGGAAGUGACUCCUUACACUUCAGAAAAUUUAACUUUUAAAAGUUUUCAGCUUCUGUACCUAAAUUGACUUAAUGUUAAU
This is a non-coding RNA of Vicugna pacos (alpaca), 862 nucleotides long. The record is from RefSeq and is a predicted model, not a curated record. NCBI's taxonomy places the organism in Eukaryota, Metazoa, Chordata, Mammalia, Artiodactyla, Camelidae.